This 115-nucleotide ribosomal RNA is filed under the name Lepisosteus oculatus (spotted gar). The record is from RNAcentral. Lineage: Eukaryota; Metazoa; Chordata; Actinopteri; Semionotiformes; Lepisosteidae.
GAUUACAGCCACAUCACCCUGCAACUCACAACUGGCAACCCACUGAAGCUCAGCAGGUAUGAGCCUGGUCAGUACCUGGAUGGGAGACCGACUGGGAAAAACUAAGGUUGCUGCU